Long non-coding RNA from Neofelis nebulosa (Clouded leopard), 694 nucleotides. RefSeq lists it as uncharacterized. NCBI's taxonomy places the organism in Eukaryota, Metazoa, Chordata, Mammalia, Carnivora, Felidae. The transcript is spliced from 2 exons. The record is from RefSeq and is a predicted model, not a curated record.
AGGAGCGGGAAAAUGAUUUCCCUCUACCCUUCUUCCAUUCUCCGGCUGGUGCCCAGUAAAUUAGGCCGGCAAAAGGCAGAUCGACAAGAGAAAAACAACGGAAGCUUACGAACAACGCACGUUGUGCGUGCAUGUGGGAGCACCCGGAGGUUUACCAGACUGUCUCUUGAGACAGAGGAAUUGCCUUAAUCCGACAGAGACUUUUUCUGGAAAUUAGAGUCCUGGACUUGAAUCGUUUCCAUCCUCUCUACUAAGCAGGGCCCGAGAAGAUUUUUCAAGGACCUGCUGAGCGCCAUGAUUUUUGCUGUCCACCAGCCAAGACUGAACAAUCACUGAGCUUUAACAGGGGAUCUACCUUGUCCAGCAAGAGAAAUUAUAUUUUCAUGUAAACACGUGUUUAGGUAAACUCUCCCAGCUGGUACUUUGAUGUUAAGGGAAAUUCAGGAGUGCCUUCAGACCCUCAAUCAGCCACCAUCAGAGGUCGGUAGAGAAAGGGUCUCAAGCUACCUAAGCCCAGACUUGCCAACAUCAGCAUCAUUUUUUUCUGAUAUCUACCACUGAGCCCUGCCCCCUCCAUGGCUAGUCUGGAGCUCGGUAGAGAACCAUGGUCUAGUCCAGGAGUCAGCCAACAAUGACCUGUGGACCAAGUUUGGCUCACUGCGUGUUUUUAUAAAUAAAGUUUUAUUGAAAUACA